This 254-nucleotide ribosomal RNA is filed under the name uncultured bacterium. Its description in RNAcentral is "partial 16S ribosomal RNA". It matches the Rfam family "Bacterial small subunit ribosomal RNA", at positions 524 to 776 of the family's 1533-position model. The record is from RNAcentral.
GACGGAGGGGGCGAGCGUUGUCCGAAUUUAUUGGGCGUAAAGCGCGUGUAGGCGGAUGGACAAACCUGAGGUGAAAGGUUGGGGCUCAACCCCAUACAGUGCCUUGGGGACUGUUCGUCUGGAGGCCGGCAGAGGAGAGUGGAAUUCCUGGUGUAGCGGUGGAAUGCGUAGAGAUCAGGAAGAACACCCAUGGCGAAGGCAGCUCUCUGGGCCGGUACUGACGCUGAGACGCGAAAGCGCGGGGAGCGAACGGG